This 498-nucleotide ribosomal RNA is filed under the name uncultured bacterium. Its description in RNAcentral is "bacterial SSU rRNA". It matches the Rfam family "Bacterial small subunit ribosomal RNA", at positions 31 to 518 of the family's 1533-position model. The record is from RNAcentral.
GAACGCUAGCUACAGGCUUAACACAUGCAAGUCGAGGGGCAGCAUGAGAGUAGCUUGCUACUCUGAUGGCGACCGGCGCACGGGUGCGUAACACGUAUCCAAUCUACCCAUGGCUCAGGAAUAGCCUUUCGAAAGAAAGAUUAAUGCCCGAUGGUCUGUCAAUGAGACAUCUCGCAGGCAGUAAAGAUUUAUCGGCGAUGGAUGAGGAUGCGUCUGAUUAGGUAGAUGGCGGGGUAACGGCCCACCAUGCCGACGAUCAGUAGGGGUUCUGAGAGGAAGGUCCCCCACAUUGGAACUGCGACACGGUCCAAACUCCUACGGGAGGCAGCAGUGAGGAAUAUUGGUCAAUGGCCGGAAGGCUGAACCAGCCAAGUAGCGUGCAAGGAUGACGGCCCUAUGGGUUGUAAACUGCUUUUGUACGGGAAUAACGGUCGCCACGCGUGGUGAUGUGCAUGUACCGUACGAAUAAGGAUCGGCUAACUCCGUGCCAGCCGCGGC